Molecule: RNA transcript, 1153 nt
Organism: Xenopus laevis (African clawed frog)
Lineage: Eukaryota; Metazoa; Chordata; Amphibia; Anura; Pipidae
Gene: atp6v1d.L
Gene name: ATPase, H+ transporting, lysosomal 34kDa, V1 subunit D L homeolog
Exons: 10
Source: RefSeq, marked provisional
AUGACGAUAGCUGUUCAGGUGACACACCUCCCCCCCCGCCUGGAUCACGUGACGGUCUGUCGAUCGCUUUGGUUCCGCAGUAGAAGCCCGAGUGUCAGUGACGGGAGAAGCGAAUCGCUGGGCAAGAUGUCGGGCAAAGACAGGAUCGAGGUGUUUCCCUCUAGGAUGGCCCAGACCAUCAUGAAGGCGCGGCUGAAAGGAGCACAGACAGGCCGCAACCUUCUCAAGAAGAAAUCCGAUGCCUUAACCAUGCGCUUCCGGCAAAUCCUAAAGAAAAUCAUUGAGACCAAGAUGCUCAUGGGAGAAGUAAUGAGAGAAGCGGCUUUCUCACUGGCUGAAGCCAAGUUCACUGCCGGAGAUUUCAGCACGACUGUUAUACAGAAUGUGAAUAAAUCUCAGGUGAAAGUGCGGGCAAAGAAAGACAAUGUAGCAGGUGUGACCUUGCCAGUGUUUGAGCAUUACCAGGAGGGAGGCGACAGCUACGAGCUGACAGGAUUGGCUAGAGGUGGGGAACAGUUGGCCAAGCUGAAGAGGAAUUAUGCCAAGGCUGUGGAGCUGCUGGUGGAACUGGCAUCACUGCAGACCUCAUUCGUGACACUAGAUGAAGCCAUUAAAAUCACUAACCGGCGUGUCAAUGCCAUAGAACAUGUGAUUAUACCCAAGAUAGAGCGCACCUUGUCCUACAUUAUCACUGAACUGGAUGAGCGCGAGAGGGAGGAGUUCUACAGGCUGAAAAAGAUCCAGGAAAAGAAGAAGAUCAUUAAGGAUAAGGCAGAGAAGGAACGAGCCAAAUGGGCGAACGCAAAUGAGGGAGGCUCCGAACCAGUCAAUCUCCUCGCAGAGGACAGAGAUGAAGACCUGUUGUUUGAUUAAGCCCUCGAUUCAGCGAAUGACGGAUUAGAUGGAAUAUAUAUAUAUAUAUAUAUAUAUAUAUGAGGGUUUCAUUUCAAACUGUCGCCGUAGGAAAUACUCUAUACCCACAAUGCAUCAGUGUGUCACUGGCUCUGGAGACUCAAGUUAAACAAAUAUUUAAGUGAAAUGAGACAAAAUUGUGCAUUUUCCCAGUUUCUGAAUCAUUGUAACUUAUUGGUGUGAUUGUCCUGCCCUGUAACAGCCCUGCGCUCUCAUUAGAUGCAAUAAAGUGUCAUGUGGA